RNAcentral lists this long non-coding RNA (216 nucleotides) under Papio anubis (olive baboon). RNAcentral describes it as "lncRNA (ENSPANG00000041546.1)". Lineage: Eukaryota; Metazoa; Chordata; Mammalia; Primates; Cercopithecidae. The record is from RNAcentral.
GGCUGCCAUCUUACAUCCACCAGCCCACGGCGUGAGUGACCUCAACCAUUUUCCGGGCGGCUGUGCCAUCAUACAUCUCACCAGCCCGGCGUGAGUGAUCUCCAACCUGUUUCCCGGGCGGCUGUGCCAUCUUACAUCCCACCAGCCCAGCGUGAGUGAUCUCCAACCUGUUUUCGGGUGUGGCUGUGUGCCAUCUUACACAUCCCUAGCCGAGCG